This 127-nucleotide ribosomal RNA is filed under the name Polytoma uvella. RNAcentral describes it as "small subunit ribosomal RNA". The record is from RNAcentral. Lineage: Eukaryota; Viridiplantae; Chlorophyta; Chlorophyceae; Chlamydomonadales; Chlamydomonadaceae.
AAGCGGCAAAAACGAGGGUUUGAUUCAUGCUCAGCUAGUACGCGGGGGAUGGAGGAUUAUACAUGCGAGGGUUUCGGCCCGCACGGGUGAGUAGUGUGCGAGUAGCCAGAGGAGGACCUUAGAGAUU